UUUAUUUCAAAAUUUGAAUGUUUCUGAGAAGUUUAUUUUGCGUUGAUCAUUUUGGUGCAUUCAUUUUAAUUUUUUGAACACUUUUACGUCUAAUUUUUAUUCUUUUUUAUUUGUUUAUUUUUGAACUUUAACAAAAAUAUUCGUAAUAAUUAAAUAUAAUUUUCUAUAUUUUUUGAUCUAAUUUCGAUUAUUUAUAAUAGUUUGAGUUUUAUUUUGAUUUAGUCCUUUUGAAACUUUUUUUUAUCUACUGAAACAUAACAAAAUCUUUUAUUUUACUAUUAAGAUAUUUAAUUUUUAAAAUUUAUUACCAAUAUUAAAUAUUUUGUUUAAUAGUAAUGUUUUGCUAGUUUAUUUAUUUAAAAAAAAAAAAGAAAGAAAGAAAAGAGGAACAGAAGAAAUUAUGAGAUUCUUCACGUGAACCUCUUCCAAAAAAUCUCUCACAUCAUAU
RNAcentral lists this long non-coding RNA (448 nucleotides) under Lathyrus oleraceus (garden pea). RNAcentral's name for it is "Pisum sativum (pea) long non-coding RNA (PSAT_LNC039097)". Lineage: Eukaryota; Viridiplantae; Streptophyta; Magnoliopsida; Fabales; Fabaceae. The record is from RNAcentral.